RNAcentral lists this ribosomal RNA (182 nucleotides) under Staphylococcus pseudintermedius. RNAcentral's name for it is "partial 23S ribosomal RNA". It matches the Rfam family "Bacterial large subunit ribosomal RNA", at positions 1 to 176 of the family's 2925-position model. The record is from RNAcentral. Lineage: Bacteria; Bacillati; Bacillota; Bacilli; Caryophanales; Staphylococcaceae.
AUAUAGAUUAAGUUAUUAAGGGCGCACGGUGGAUGCCUUGGCACUAGAAGCCGAUGAAGGACGUUACUAACGACGAUAUGCUUUGGGGAGCUGUAAGUAAGCUUUGAUCCAGAGAUUUCCGAAUGGGGAAACCCAGCACGAGUUAUGUCGUGUUAUCUGUAUGUGAAUACAUAGCAUGCAAG